RNAcentral lists this long non-coding RNA (756 nucleotides) under Lepisosteus oculatus (spotted gar). RNAcentral's name for it is "lncRNA (ENSLOCG00000021124.1)". The record is from RNAcentral. Lineage: Eukaryota; Metazoa; Chordata; Actinopteri; Semionotiformes; Lepisosteidae.
GGAGAGGACAGGAUGCCCUCGGCAGAGACAGACGUCUGAAGCCCUCCCUGUCUCCACCGACGUGCCCCAAAAUAAAACAAAGAUGAGGAGGAACGAGGCCUUUGAAUAAUGGUGUGCUGGCAGUCGUCUGCAGCUCGUGACAGGCUGGCUGGGCAUGAAUCACUCGCUCCCUGGGAAAUGAAGCUGUUUUUGACUUUUGGAAGACAUCCUUCUUCUCAAAGGCCACACUGGUUUGCAAAUUCAGGAAAUGUUUGAUGAUGUCAUAGAACCACGACCUCUCACUAAACACACUCGGAGGGAUCCAAGAUAAUGCCUGUCUGGUUUCAGGACUGUGGCUCUAAAUCCUUUUUUUUUCUUUGGCUUCACUAAUCUUUACUAGUGCUACAAGUCCUGCAGGAAUGACAGUUCUGAGCUUUCCUCCCCAAAGUGGGCCACUGUAGCUAAGUUGGGAAACACGGUAUUGGAGAAGUAAUUCUUACGGCCCUUCUCAAAAGAAAUUGAACGUGAAUAUUAUAUUGGAAAGUCCCCCAAGCAUAAGCGACUGAGGUUAGUGUGGCUGUUUGUCCUUAUUCUCACUUCAGACAGUGAAGAGCUCACACUGCAGAAGAGAAAUAAUAUUCACUCCUAGGCCUGGAGAUUUUAGAGGCUGCUCCUCAGUGCCUAAAGCCCUGGACACACCAUGAACAGGAAUUAGAAUCAGAGGACUCGGAUCCUCUCUUGGAUAAGGGGGAGAUUGUCCCCAGUAUGAAGUCUUCU